AAAAGACUCGCCUUCCCGGAUUGAAGGAGGCUCUAAGUCCCUGGUUUUACUCAAGACUGUGAGGUUUCCUAGCCAAAACUAGGGGAAUCACGCCAGUCCUCAGGACUCGAGAUGGAUUUAAAAACCCUGUGAACCUAGUCGCUGCCCCUUCAGCUCAGAUUAUAUUUGCGGACGACUCUAAGAAGCUAAGCCCCAGGGGUGGAUUUUCUUUCCGCCUCUCCCACCCUCAGUAUCUCGGAGCUGGUCACUUGAGGAGCAAAGAGCCUGCAGAUUCGGCAGCGUCUCUCCUCUUGAGGAAAGGCUAUCGGGCAGAUACUAAGUCCGCUACUUCUUCCACUGGCUCCCUCUCCGGCAGUCUGGCAAAAGAUGAGAAGUUUCCACUUGUCCAAUCCCUGAGAGUUCAGCACAAGCAUCACUCAGCAUCCUGUGUUGGCCAGAGUCCGAGCCCCGCUCAGCUUUGCCUAAUGCCUCUUCCCCCAAGACUACAGUACUUUCAACUACCAACAGUGCAUGUAUCGAAGCGACAACUGCAGCUGGCGCCCGAAGAUCGAAGAAAGAGUCUCACGGCACUAAAACCAGACAACCUAUUCUCCAAGAUUUGCCUACUAGUUCCCCGGUCACACCCCCACCGUCCCCGCUGCCACUGGAGGAGCUAGAGCCACGACGCUGGGCCAAGUCCAGAGCGCGGCAUUCUUCAGGUAAAAAAAAGUCCAAAAAUGGGAGAGUGGGCGAUGGCUGCCUUUGGAGCCGUUGCGUUUCCCCGGGGCGUUGCUGGGUACAAGCUCCGGGUGCCUGGUUGAGCACACCGGUGACAAUUGGUUUUCUAAGAUACACACCGAAGGAGCCCCGACAUCUUUGGCUUUGCAGGUGCCCAUCAGUUCUUCCUCCCAGAACGAGGGCCCCAUCUCGAAUCUUGGGCUUUGGGGAACGUGGAAAUUUGUCUAGACGCACCCGACGGUUCUGUGCGUCUGUACCCCCUUACCUCCCCUCCCAGUGCAGUAACUUCAAGGGGGGUGGCUUCUGUUUUAAGGUGGUACAGUCACCCCGAAAGACCCCUGGCGAAAGGAAAAAGGAAAAACCAGAGCGGCAUGUGAACCAAGGGGAAAAGAAGCGGAGCCAGAAUGUAAUUAAUAGAACUGAAUUUGGCCCACGGACCCUUGCGUUGCUGGAGUCUUCCGUCCCAAUUAAUAAAACUUCUAUAUUCCGAGAGCUUCCGAGGAAAAUGAGAUCAUCUUCAGACAGCCCAGGCAUUGAGGGAUGUAGAUGGGCCGAAGAGACUUUCUUUAAACCAACCCAGAAAGAUGGUAGGAUAGGUGCCCAGAAGCCUGAAAGGAAGGGUGGAGGCUCAAAAAAGUUUCAGUGCCAUAAAAAUACCCCAAGAAAUGAGAUGUUUAUCCUACCUAGAAGCAGGUCGAGAAAAAUAAAAUAAUUGCAGUGGAG
RNAcentral lists this long non-coding RNA (1440 nucleotides) under Vombatus ursinus (common wombat). Its description in RNAcentral is "lncRNA (ENSVURG00010009757.1)". Lineage: Eukaryota; Metazoa; Chordata; Mammalia; Diprotodontia; Vombatidae. The record is from RNAcentral.